This 254-nucleotide ribosomal RNA is filed under the name uncultured bacterium. RNAcentral describes it as "partial 16S ribosomal RNA". It matches the Rfam family "Bacterial small subunit ribosomal RNA", at positions 524 to 776 of the family's 1533-position model. The record is from RNAcentral.
UACGAGUGCCCCAAGCGUUAUCCGGAAUUACUGGGCGUAAAGGGUGUGUAGGCGGUUUGGUUAGUCUGCCGUUAAAUCCUCCGGCUCAACCGGAGACCUGCGGUAGAAACGGCCAAACUACGAGGGUGUGAGAGGUCUAUGGAACUCAUGGUGUAGGGGUGAAAUCCGUUGAUAUCAUGGGGAACACCAAAAGCGAAGGCAGUAGACUGGCACAUUUCUGACGCUGAAACACGAAAGCGUGGGGAUCAAACGGG